CACGGGGUUAGCCGAUGCUUUUUCUUCGGAUACACGCAGUCCGGGACACGUCCCGGGUUUUGUUCUCCGACAAAAGAGGUUUACAACCCAUAGGGCCGUCUUCCCUCACGCGGCUUGGCUGGUUCAGGAUCUCUCCCAUUGACCAAUAUUCCUCACUGCUGCCUCCCGUAGGAGUCUGGUCCGUGUCUCAGUACCAGUGUGGGGGACCUUCCUCUCAGAACCCCUACGCAUCGUCGCCACGGUGGGCCGUUACCCCGCCGUCAAGCUAAUGCGCCGCAUGCCCAUCCUCUUCCGAUGAAUCUUUCCUCGAUCUCGGAUGCCCGAAACCGAUAUACGCGGGAUUAGCCUCCCUUUCGGAAGGUUGUCCCCCUGAAGAGGGCAGGUUGCAUACGUGUUACUCACCCGUGCGCCGGUCGCCGGCAAGGAAAGCAAGCUUCCCUCCCGAUGCCCCUCGACUUGCAUGUGUUAAGCCUGCCGCUAGCGUUCAUCCUGAGCCAGGAUCAAACUC
This 508-nucleotide ribosomal RNA is filed under the name uncultured Bacteroidales bacterium. RNAcentral's name for it is "partial 16S ribosomal RNA". Lineage: Bacteria; Pseudomonadati; Bacteroidota; Bacteroidia; Bacteroidales. The record is from RNAcentral.